RNAcentral lists this ribosomal RNA (301 nucleotides) under uncultured bacterium. RNAcentral's name for it is "partial 16S ribosomal RNA". It matches the Rfam family "Bacterial small subunit ribosomal RNA", at positions 509 to 809 of the family's 1533-position model. The record is from RNAcentral.
CAGUCGCCGCGGUAAUACGUAGGUGGCGAGCGUUGUCCGGAUUUAUUGGGCGUAAAGGGAGUGUAGGCGGUCUUUUAAGUCUGAUGUGAAAGCCCACGGCUCAACCGUGGAGGGUCAUUGGAAACUGGGAGACUUGAGUGCAGAAGAGGAGAGCGGAAUUCCAUGUGUAGCGGUGAAAUGCGUAGAGAUGUGGAGGAACACCAGUGGCGAAGGCGACUCUCUGGUCUGUAACUGACGCUGAGGAGCGAAAGCGUGGGGAGCGAACAGGAUUAGAUACCCCCGUAGUCCCUGUCUCUUAUAA